AGUGAACGCUGGCGGUAGGCCUAACACAUGCAAGUCGAACGGCAGCACAGUAAGAGCUUGCUCUUACGGGUGGCGAGUGGCGGACGAGUGAGGAAUACAUCGGAAUCUACUUUUUCGUGGGGGAUAACGUAGGGAAACUUACGCUAAUACCGCAUACGACCUACGGGUGAAAGCAGGGGAUCUUCGGACCUUGCGCGAUUGAAUGAGCCGAUGUCGGAUUAGCUAGUUGGCGGGGUAAAGGCCCACCAAGGCGACGAUCCGUAGCUGGUCUGAGAGGAUGAUCAGCCACACUGGAACUGAGACACGGUCCAGACUCCUACGGGAGGCAGCAGUGGGGAAUAUUGGACAAUGGGCGCAAGCCUGAUCCAGCCAUACCGCGUGGGUGAAGAAGGCCUGCGGGUUGUAAAGCCCUUUUGUUGGGAAAGAAAAGCAGCAGGUUAAUACCCCGCUGUUCUGACGGUACCCAAAGAAUAAGCACCGGCUAACUUCGU
Molecule: ribosomal RNA, 491 nt
Filed under: uncultured bacterium
Lineage: Bacteria
Description: partial 16S ribosomal RNA
Rfam family: Bacterial small subunit ribosomal RNA
Source: RNAcentral